This 786-nucleotide long non-coding RNA is filed under the name Homo sapiens (human). RNAcentral's name for it is "HSALNT0180500". The record is from RNAcentral. Lineage: Eukaryota; Metazoa; Chordata; Mammalia; Primates; Hominidae.
AGAACUUAUCCUAAAGGAAAAGAAUACAGAUUAACAAGAUGUCUCUCUGGACUCACGUCUGAGUCACAAGAUUAGGGACUGCAAUCAAGAGUGGAAAAAAUCUUGAAGAAUUGACUCACUAAAGCUUCCGUCAGACAUUGACAGCUCAAUGGAGCAUUGCUUUGCAGCCCCUGUAAUGGUAAUCAUAUGAAAGCAUUUGCCCCACCCCAGGGUGACCGUGGGAACCUGGAGAAGUUAAGAAAUGAAUGUAAUAGACUGAACUGCAAGCUGUGGCAGUCUGGGUCUGGAAGGAGAAGAAGCUGUAGAAGAUAUUUUCCUUCAGUAGCUUCUCCACAGCCAUGGUGGGAGAUGGCAGAAACAGCCAGCAUCACUUCUGGGAGGUGGACCACAGAAGAGAAAAAGAAACAACAGACCCAAUAGGGUCUCGCAUGGUUCUGAACACAUAGUAAAUGCUGAAUUACUAUUUCCUAAAUUAUCAUAAAGCUGAGAAGAAUCAUGAUUCUCAAACUUCACCUUGGAAUUAAAAUGGAUUUCCUUGAGAAGCACAUAUGAGGUAUACUCUUACUGGCAUUUUCAACUUAAGCCUUGAUAUCUCUUGACAUGUGAUUCUUCAGCAUAAGAGUACUGAUGCUCUAAAUAAAAUGCCAUUUUUAUGGGAAGAUCAGGAUAAAUCAGCAUGCCUUGGUUACCUCACACUUUCAGAGUCACUGCUGUUUUAACCCCCCAAAUAGCAUGUUGAUUAUAUUAGGAAACCUUUCUGACAAGUAUACUUAGAGCAGAAGGGAA